AUUGAACGCUGGCGGCAGGCCCAACACAUGCAAGUCGAGCGGAUGAAGGGAGCUUGCUCCUGGAUUCAGCGGCGGACGGGUGAGUAAUGCCUAGGAAUCUGCCUGGUAGUGGGGGAUAACGUCCGGAAACGGGCGCUAAUACCGCAUACGUCCUGAGGGAGAAAGUGGGGGAUCUUCGGACCUCACGCUAUCAGAUGAGCCUAGGUCGGAUUAGCUAGUUGGUGGGGUAAAGGCCUACCAAGGCGACGAUCCGUAACUGGUCUGAGAGGAUGAUCAGUCACACUGGAACUGAGACACGGUCCAGACUCCUACGGGAGGCAGCAGUGGGGAAUAUUGGACAAAGGGCGAAAGCCUGAUCCGGCCAUGCCGCGUGUGUGAAGAAGGUCUUCGGAUUGUAAAGCACUUUAAGUUGGGAGGAAGGGCAGUAAGUUAAUACCUUGCUGUUUUGACGUUACCAACAGAAUAAGCACCGGCUAACUUCGUG
This 484-nucleotide ribosomal RNA is filed under the name uncultured bacterium. RNAcentral describes it as "partial 16S ribosomal RNA". It matches the Rfam family "Bacterial small subunit ribosomal RNA", at positions 30 to 507 of the family's 1533-position model. The record is from RNAcentral.